This 528-nucleotide ribosomal RNA is filed under the name Salmonella enterica subsp. enterica serovar Hvittingfoss. RNAcentral describes it as "partial 23S ribosomal RNA". It matches the Rfam family "Bacterial large subunit ribosomal RNA", at positions 1 to 559 of the family's 2925-position model. Lineage: Bacteria; Pseudomonadati; Pseudomonadota; Gammaproteobacteria; Enterobacterales; Enterobacteriaceae. The record is from RNAcentral.
GGGUUGUGAGGUUAAGCGACUAAGCGUACACGGUGGAUGCCAUGGCAGUCAGAGGCGAUGAAGGGCGUGCUAAUCUGCGAUAAGCGCCGGUAAGGUGAUAUGAACCGUUAUAACCGGCGAUACCCGAAUGGGGAAACCCAGUGUGACUCGUCACACUAUCAUUAACUGAAUCCAUAGGUUAAUGAGGCGAACCGGGGGAACUGAAACAUCUAAGUACCCCGAGGAAAAGAAAUCAACCGAGAUUCCCCCAGUAGCGGCGAGCGAACGGGGAGGAGCCCAGAGCCUGAAUCAGCAUGUGUGUUAGUGGAAGCGUCUGGAAAGGCGCGCGAUACAGGGUGACAGCCCCGUACACAAAAGCGCAUGUGCUGUGAGCUCGAUGAGUAGGGCGGGACACGUGGUAUCCUGUCUGAAUAUGGGGGGACCAUCCUCCAAGGCUAAAUACUCCUGACUGACCGAUAGUGAACCAGUACCGUGAGGGAAAGGCGAAAAGAACCCCGGCGAGGGGAGUGAAAAAGAACCUGAAACCGU